CAGGCAUCCUAGCUAUAUAUAGCACAGUGUGCCUUUUAAACAAUCAUUGGUCUUGGAACGCAGUGGACUCCGAGUGUGGGAUUUGUUGAAUGAAUGGACAUUCGUAAAGAAGACGACUUCUAGCAGGCAUUCAUAGUAAUACAAAGAAAUACAAUAGAAUCAAUGAAAAACUACACACAAAGACUGACAAACAACCGAAGCAUAAAAGAAGACGGUGUAAGAGCCCAGGUGAAGAGCCAGUUCAAUUGUGCAGUCAACUUGAAAAAUGUUAAAGGAAGAUGUGAUACGAGAUGACACAGUCGGAUUUUAGAAAAUUUGUCACUUACAAGGGACCAGGAAGAAUGGAGAGUGG
Mobula hypostoma (lesser devil ray) is the source of this 352-nucleotide long non-coding RNA. RefSeq lists it as uncharacterized. The transcript is spliced from 3 exons. NCBI's taxonomy places the organism in Eukaryota, Metazoa, Chordata, Chondrichthyes, Myliobatiformes, Myliobatidae. The record is from RefSeq and is a predicted model, not a curated record.